CCUACGGGUGGCAGCAGUGGGGAAUAUUGCGCAAUGGGCGAAAGCCUGACGCAGCGACGCCGCGUGAGGGAUGAAGGUCUUCGGAUCGUAAACCUCUGUCAGCAGGGAAGAACGGUCACUGUGCUAAUCAGCAGUGAAUUGACGGUACCUGCAAAGGAAGCACCGGCUAACUCCGUGCCAGCAGCCGCGGUAAUACGGAGGGUUCGAGCGUUAAUCGGAAUUACUGGGCGUAAAGGGCUCGUAGGCGGUAUGUCAAGGCAAGGGUGAAAGCCCCGCGCUCAACGUGGGAACCGCCAUUGAAACUGGCAAACUGGAGUGUGUGCGAGGAUAGUGGAAUAACAGGAGUAGGAGUGAAAUCCGUAGAUAUCUGGAGGAACAUCAGUGGCGAAGGCGACUAUCUGGCACAUAACUGACGCUGAGGAGCGAGAGCGUGGGUAGCAAACAGGAUUAGAUACCCCUGUAGUC
This 465-nucleotide ribosomal RNA is filed under the name uncultured bacterium. Its description in RNAcentral is "partial 16S ribosomal RNA". It matches the Rfam family "Bacterial small subunit ribosomal RNA", at positions 338 to 795 of the family's 1533-position model. The record is from RNAcentral.